CUCAAUUAACCUGCCACGGCCUAGCUAACGUUGCACCUAGCUGCUGGUAUCAGUACACACGUCUAGCUACUGCUCUUUAUAAUUAAAUCAAAAUGUACAAGAUAAAUAAUUAAUCUGCAAAUCCCGCAUCGCUUGCAAAACAAAAAAUCAGUGAAAUGAGCGACGCAGCUGCCGGACAGUAUAAACCAGACAGCUGUUAAAUGCUAGCAGUAAACUAGCAUGCUAGCUUAGCUUAGUAACCGUUGGUAUUAAAUGAGCAGUUACACGUCUGCCUAGUAUUUAAAAAUGUAUGUAGCUGUGAGAACUAUAAUCAGAGCUGUGUAUUCAUCUUUUCUCCUGACAUUUACACCCACUCUACGUGCUGUUCCCGUGUCGGGUCUGGAUGAAUGAAAAUUAGCUGGCUAACAGGCUAGAUAGCUACCCACCCAGUUAACGCUAGCUAGCUUGGACGCUGAUACUUCCUGUUUCAGCAAAUCGUCCGACAUUAACGGCACCGUCCACAGCAAGCCACGGAUUCAUAGCGUGUCAAAGCAAAGCGUUAAACUCACCCCGGUCCCAUUGUCACAGACCACCACUUUCCUUCCCUGGCUGUCCAUUGUGUAAAAGCCCAGUUGUCGCUGAACCUCCCUCAACUUUCUUCGGCAAGCCGGAAGGAAGACACACCAACCCGGCCAGGGAGAAGGAAGGGCAGGGUGUUCAUCCGCUCUACUACUCAGAUCAAACAGGGCACUGCAUGUGAAAACGCCAGGAUGAGCUAAGUGGAGAGUGAAUGAUCAGUAAUGUAUGAAGAAGGAAAAUAUUCUUUCUUAUCCCACACUCACUCACAAAGGCUACAUUUCUUACUAUGCAUUCUUUGGGUACGAGAAUGCUUGGGAACAUAAGGACUUUGGCCAGCAUGAAAGACAGGUUAGGCAGUCCAGAGAUCACUCUGCCAGCUUCCACACUCAGCUCUUCAUCCUGCUGAGACUUCCUGAUAAAAACAGCAGAUGGACAUCAGGCGAUUCAGUGUGUCCUCCAUGUGGCUACUGUUAACUCCCGUUUCCAGUUUGCUGAUGGUCAACUCAUACAGCUCACGGUCAACUCCUUUACACUUGCUGACCUGGAGGAGGACUGUUGCUACGGCUGCUGCUGCUGCUGUAGGAUCUGCCCUCCUCCUCAGGACCAAAAUAAUCCAGGUUGAGAGCAGUGCAGUCUGUGCUAAUCAGAGGGGAGACAGUGAGGAAUGUUCUGGGCUGUGGAGGGACGGGGCAGCUUGAUUUCUUAUUCAUAAAAAAGGAGAAUGAGCAUCUACUUGUGACUGAUGUUUUCUCAUUUUACUGAGACAGUGGGAAGACCGAGAGAAUGACAGACACAGCAAACGAAGCUCAACAAAGCAAUGCAAAGUUUUUGUUAUCCAGAGUCUUUUAUAUUCAGAUUCACAGGCCCCUUAACCAUGAAAUAUCCACCACCUAGUAUGAGGUCACUUAAACUUCACAUGGAAAUAUCCUGACUCAGCUGACAAGGUGGGCCAAACAGCCUCUGGAUGUUGUUGUAGUUUGUUAGCAUAAGAAUGUCUCAGAUCAUAACAAAAGGGUUGAAGCUACCCGAAAAACUUUUUAAUCUUUUAAGAUGUUACAAUAUUUUAUAUGCUACCCCUUAACACUUUCAAUAAUUUGGUAGUUACCUGCCAUAAUAAAUUAUCGCUGUCCCAACUUUAAAAGGGUGGACUAAGCAGGUUAGCUAGGAAAUCUAAACUGUUUUAUAUCCUUUGUCUUGUAAAUAAAACAAACCACCACAUCCAUAGAUGUUUGAAUACUGCAACUUUGCAUUCGGCCACAGAGAAAAGU
This is a long non-coding RNA of Micropterus dolomieu (smallmouth bass), 1826 nucleotides long. RefSeq lists it as uncharacterized. The record is from RefSeq and is a predicted model, not a curated record. NCBI's taxonomy places the organism in Eukaryota, Metazoa, Chordata, Actinopteri, Centrarchiformes, Centrarchidae. The transcript is spliced from 6 exons.